UCCGAGUUGACCCCGGCAGUCUCCUAUGAGUCCCCACCAUAACGUGCUGGCAACAUAGAACGAGGGUUGCGCUCGUUGCGGGACUUAACCCAACAUCUCACGACACGAGCUGACGACAGCCAUGCAGCAUCUGUGGCGCACCCUCGAAGGUCACACGUUUCCGUGCGCUUGCAGCGCCAUGUCAAGCCCAGGUAAGGUGGGGAUGACGUCUUGGAAGCAAGCU
Molecule: unclassified non-coding RNA, 223 nt
Filed under: uncultured Actinomycetes bacterium
Lineage: Bacteria; Bacillati; Actinomycetota; Actinomycetes
Description: uncultured actinobacterium contains 16S-23S intergenic spacer region
Source: RNAcentral